AUGGAUGAGUCAGCACUGGAAAAGUACUUUGAUAACUUCAUUAUGAAUGUGAGUAAAAGCUGCAGCUUGUUAAAGGGUCAGUUCACUCAGAGGAGGAGUCUGAUCGGAGCUCCGAGCUGCCAAAGGAAGAGUCAGGAAGUCCAAACUGUAACUCUAAAAUCAAACGUUUCAUUUCUAAAUCUGAGAAAAUGUCUUACCUGGAAACUGCUUUGGCUCUGCACUAAAACAGAUUACCAGCUGAUUUCUGCAGGUCUGGUCCAGCUCUGGUCCUGGUCUGGUCCAGCUCCGGUCCUGGUACAGUCCAGCUUCGGUCCUGGUCUGGUCCAGCUCCGGUCCUGGUCUGGUCCAGCUCUGGUCCAGCUCUGGUCCUGGUCUGGUCCAGCUCCGAUCCUGGUACGGUCCAGCUCUGGUCCAGCUCUGGUCCUGGUCUGGUCCAGCUCCGAUCCUGGUCUGAUCCUGCUCUGGUCCAGCUCUGGUCCUGGUCUGGUCCAGCUCCGGUCCUGGUACAGUCCAGUUUCGGUCCUGGUCUGGUCCAGCUCCGGUCAUGGUCUGGUCCAGCUCCGGUCUAGCUCUGGUCCAGCUCCGGUCCUGCUCUGGUCCUGCUCUGGUCCAGCUCUGGUCCUGGUCUGGUCCAGCUCUGGUCCAGCUCCGGUGCUGGUACGGUCCAGCUCUGGUCCAGCUUCGGUCCUGGUCUGGUCCAGCUCCGGUCCUGGUCUGGUCCUGGUCUGGUCCAGCUCUGGUCCUGGUCUGGUCCAGCUCUGGUCCAGCUCUGGUCCCACUCUGGUCCCGCUCUGGUCCUGCUCUGGUCCAGCUCUGGUCCUGCUCUGGUCCUGCUCUGGUCCUGCUCUGGUCCUGGUCUGGUCCUGCUCUGGUCCUGGUCUGGUCCUGGUCUGGUCCUGCUCUGGUCCUGCUCUGGUCCUGGUCUGGUCCUGCUCUGGUCCUGCUCUGGUCCUGCUCUGGUCCUGCUCUGGUCCUGGUCUGGUCCUGGUCUGGUCCUGCUCUGGUCCUGCUCUGGUCCUGGUACGGUCCAGCUCUGGUCCUGGUCUGGUCCUGGUCUGGUCCUGGUCUGGUCCUGCUCUGGUCCUGCUCUGGUCCUGCUCUGGUCCUGGUCUGGUCCUGCUCUGGUCCUGCUCUGGUCCCGGCCUAGAGACGGAUGCAGUCUCUCUCUGCAGGACUCCCCACAGAGGAAGGAGGAGCUUGAGGAGGACGAGCUGUUCUUCAGUUUACUGCCUGAUGAGCUGCUAA
This 1245-nucleotide long non-coding RNA is filed under the name Echeneis naucrates (live sharksucker). Its description in RNAcentral is "lncRNA (ENSENLG00000015913.1)". The record is from RNAcentral. Lineage: Eukaryota; Metazoa; Chordata; Actinopteri; Carangiformes; Echeneidae.